GGUCGUUUCGAGAGGGUCGUCCUUUAAGUCGUCGUACGCCCACACACGGAGGGUUUGGGCGGGAAGGAGAGAGACAUGGGCGUUGCGUAGUGCUUCGUUCGCGUUCGAGUCUGGCGGGCGUUCGCUUCACCGACCGGUACUGUUGGUGAAUCCAAAAUUAUUCUUCGCUUCGUCUGGCUGUGGCAGAGCGAGUUCGUGAGAUCGACGUCAGCGAAUCGGCCACGCCCCCGCGCCCUCAACCCACCAAUGGGCGGCCUUUGUGACUGGACAAUGUUCCUCCUGCUGUCUGUCUUGAGCGGGAUGACCGCGGGGCUGCAGAUAACAGGUAUCCAGGUCCCCCCCACCGUCAUCAGCGGGGACCAAGUGCGCCUGACCUGUUCAUUCGAGUUCAACGGCGACAAACUCUACUCUCUCACCUGGUGGAAGGACGAACAGCUGUUUUUCAAGUACCUGCCGAUUAACAACAUGAAGACGGUGUACGAGACGCCGGGGAUUACC
Molecule: long non-coding RNA, 498 nt
Organism: Penaeus indicus
Lineage: Eukaryota; Metazoa; Arthropoda; Malacostraca; Decapoda; Penaeidae
Exons: 4
Source: RefSeq, a predicted model, not a curated record